RNAcentral lists this ribosomal RNA (843 nucleotides) under uncultured crenarchaeote. RNAcentral's name for it is "bacterial SSU rRNA". It matches the Rfam family "Archaeal small subunit ribosomal RNA", at positions 408 to 1260 of the family's 1478-position model. The record is from RNAcentral. Lineage: Archaea; Thermoproteati; Thermoproteota.
UUCCCCAGUGUAGACAGCUGGGGGAAUAAGGAGAGGGCAAGUCUGGUGUCAGCCGCCGCGGUAAUACCAGCUCUCCGAGUGGUGGGGACGCUUAUUGGGCCUAAAGCAUCCGUAGCCGGCUGUUCAAGUCCCCUGUUAAAUCCAGCGAUUCAAUCGUUGGACUGCGGGGGAUACUGUCCAGCUAGGGGGCGGGAGAGGCCGACGGUAUUCCCGGGGUAGGGGUGAAAUCUUAUAAUCCCGGGAGGACCACCAGUGGCGAAGGCUGUCGGCUAGAACGCGCCCGACGGUGAGGGAUGAAAGCUGGGGGAGCGAACCGGAUUAGAUACCCGGGUAGUCCCAGCCGUAAACGAUGCAGGCUAGGUGUUAACGCGGCUACGGGCCGCGUUGGUGCCGCAGGGAAGCCGUUAAGCCUGCCGCCUGGGGAGUACGGCCGCAAGGCUGAAACUUACAGGAAUUGGCGGGGGAGCACCACAAGGGGUGAAGCUUGCGGUUUAAUUGGAGUCAACGCCGGAAACCUUACCGGGGGCGACAGCAGAAUGAAGGCCAGAUUGAAGGUCUUGCCAGACAAGCUGAGAGGAGGUGCAUGGCCGUCGCCAGUUCGUGCCGUGAGGUGUCCUGUUAAGUCAGGCAACGAUCGAGACCCGCAUCCCCUGUUGCAACCAGCCUUGAGCUGGGCACACUGGGGAGACUGCCGCCGAUAAGGCGGAGGAAGGAGCGGGCCACGGCAGGUCAGUAUGCCCCGAAUCCCCCGGGCCACACGCGAGCUGCAAUGGCAGGUACAAUGGGUUCCAACCCCGAAAGGGGAAGGCAAUCCCUAAAGCCUGCCGUAGUUGGGAUCGAGGG